Molecule: non-coding RNA, 3300 nt
Organism: Sus scrofa (pig)
Lineage: Eukaryota; Metazoa; Chordata; Mammalia; Artiodactyla; Suidae
Source: RefSeq, a predicted model, not a curated record
CCCACUGUGCACCAAAGCAGGAAUGCCGAUAUUUUUAUUACUUUUUUUAACAGAGGUAACUCCAUUGUAAUGGUCAUCUAAACUAGAAGUUGCCAUCUCACCACGUAAACAAAUUAUUUACACUAUGAUGUUGUUUCAGGGGGAACCAAAUUGGCAUAUUUGUUGACAAUUUGUUAUUCGGUGCUCUCAUUGGCUAUAUGGCUCUAGACCUGUCUCAGUUUCUCCAUCUGUGAAAAAGAGAUAAUAGUUCCUCUAUGCCAAGCGUAAUUCUUGGAGUUUCCGUUGCGGCUCUGUGGGUUAUGGACCCAACCUGUAUCCACAAAGAUGCAUGUUCGAUCCCUGGACUCCAUCCAUGGGUUAAGGAUCCAGCAUUGCCAUGAGCUGUGGUACAGGUCACAGAUGCAGCUUGGAUCCCACGUGGCUGUAGCUGUGGCAGAGGCUGGCAGCUGUAGCUCCCAUUCGACCUCUAGUCUGGGAACCUCCCUAUGCCACUGUGUGGCCCUAAAAAGCAAAAACAAAACAAAACAGUAUAUUCUUAUGAACAAAUGGACUCAAACACAACAAUGUAGCAAAAGCACUUUGUAAAUGUUAAAAAAAAUAAACACAAAUACUCUUUUCCAGCACACAAGCUUUUCCACGGUAAGCCUUGGGUCAGGGAGUAUAUAUAGGGAGGGGAGAUUAAAAGAAAACUUUAAAUAAGAUUUAUCUUAAGUACAGUAUCUUCUCUUCUAGACAGCCUAGAAAAUUAAUUAUACAGCUACUAUUUUGUUAACAAUGAUUAAGAAUUGAAACAGGAAGGUCCAAGAAUUCAACAACAAUUUGCACUAGGUCAAUCUGCUCAUCCAGACAGAUAUGCAGUGAGCAUUUUAGGAGAUUUAUAUUCCAUAUUCGUGGAUAUUUGAUUAAGAGACAUUAUAAUUCAUUAUAUCCAUCCUUUCCAGCAGUAGUAAUUAUUUUCUCAUUUUAGGUCAUUUUACUACUGUUUCAAAUUUAUUAUCUCACUAAAUGCACUUUACCAAUUUUUUCCUGCAAAAUUCCAUGAUAUUUAUCUCAGCUUCCACUGCACGUUUUAACAGUUAAGUCGAUGUCUACAUCAGCACUUCUAUUAUGCAUUUGUUUUUUAGGAGUUAAAACUCAUCCAUAAAAAUUAACUAAGGCUGAAACUUGGCAGACAGCUUAGAAGCACAUUUUGUUUUUACCAACCUUCAAGAAAAUCCAUAUGGCUGUUUCUAAAUUCCUGUACAUCAGGCUUAAAUCAAAUAAAUCCUGGCCAACAUGAGACACUUAUUUAAACUAAUUCACUUCAAAAACAGAAUUUUUUUAAUGCAAUUAUGUCAGGACUGGCUCUUAUCUCUCCUCCAAGUCCCUCGGCCCCACCCUGGGUGGACACCUCGUCACCCUGGUGGCUGGCCUGGCCACCACCUGCAGCCCAACAGGUCUAACCAUGCAAUGCACAGUUAUGGUUUCGUGUUUUCAUAGGACUGCAAAGUUUUCUGGAAGCUGCCAAGUGAAUUGACACAUCAGAGAUUUCCCUGGCUCAGCCCUGCUCUUCCUCUGUCCUACCCAAAGACAUGCCCCUUUCAAUAUUGCGGUCACAUCCAUAAGCCUGGAAGGCAGCCUGUGAAAAAACUACUUCUCACCCCUAUAGGCAGAGCUGUCUCUAAUCUGAUGAAUCAGGCCAUGGCUUUGAACUGUUGGAAAAGAAUUCUCCAAGGAUCUCUCCUAUUUCUGCACAUCUUGCAAAUGAGGCACUGACUGCUCUUUUGUUCCAGACCACCUUUUCAAGGAUGUUUAUAUAGUGAACAGCCUUGCAAAGCAGAGGUAGGGCAGGGUCUCCCUCUAGGGAAAGGGGCAGGCAUGCUUACUUUCCAGCAUAAUAAAAGAUAAUGUCUCUCCAAAAUAAAGGGCAGGCAGGUUUACUGCCCGUUAUGAUGGAUUCAGGCUCCUAGACGCCUAAACAGGAGCGUUCCUCUUCUGCCCUUUCAGGUAUCAUCUGAUCCUUUUCACAGUCACCCUGGGGGAAUGUGGGGCUUGAGGAACUUGCACGUAAAUGCUGACUCUCUGGCAACUGCUAUUACUAUGAGUAAUAAAAUGUCCUUUAUCUCUGAUCCAGGGGUCUGAUCUCUUCUAACAACAUUCAUGAAACUGAGGCAGGCUACCUUGUGAGCCUGCAAAUAGGAUGAAACUCAGACUCUUGCAAGGAGGAUGAAAACCAUAGACAAUAAGCAAGAGUGACAAGAGGCAUAUCAGGAAAUUAUACAACCAAAGACUUUGUACCACGAGACGUAUCUACUCUAUUCCCAAAGAUAUAAAGCAGUUACACGGAAAGCGUGCUCUCCAGCUGACAUUUUAUAUGAAGAUAACUUAGGACUGAACAUGGCUAUUUAGAAGCUUGAAAUAAUAAGUAGUUUUUAUUGAGAACCUACUAUUUACUAAACACUGUGCUAAACACUUUAUAUAUGUAUUUCAUCAGAAUAACCUUACAAUAAAUAUGAAAUCUUAUUACGCCCCAAUGUGUAUGUAAAUAAAUUGAAGCCUACCAAAGGUUAGUAACUUGCCCAAGAUUUCAUAACUAGUGUGUGGCAAAGCCAGAACUCAAACCCAGAUCUGCUUAGUGCCAUAACCCAUGUCCUAACCACUUUGCCAAACAUGAAGAGAUUAUGAGUGGUAUCCUACAAAUAAGAGAGGAUGAGUCUUCAAUUGUUUAUCAGCCAACACUUGUAAUGGGCACUUUACUAUGAACCCAAAACAUACAACUUAUGUCAUUUUAAGGAACACGUAUAGAGUGUCCACUACAGUCAAGACACAACACUAGAAGAUGCUAAUAAGGGCUAUACAGAAGGACUGGUAAGGCAGCUGAUCCAAAUGGCAUUCACAGCCUAGUGAGGGAGAAAGCCAUACUAACACAAGGUAGAGGUAAAUAAAUGGAGAAAGGGAUAGGAGCUCUUAAAGUGCCAAGGGAAGCUUCAUAGCAGAUUAUUUAAGCCGCAUCUCAAAGAGUGAAUGGGAAUUUUUUUAAGGUAAAGAAUCAAGGAAAGGUACAUUGAGAGCAAAGCAUGAUUAAAGGCACAGAGGAGAAACAUGGGGACGUUGAAAGGGCACAAAUGACCUAGUGUGGCUGGGUGUGUGGAGACUAUAAAGGCAAAUGAGGUUAGAAAGAUAUUUGGGGACCAGAUUUCAGGAGAAUUUCUAUGCCUUCAUAAAGAAAUUGGAAGUCUCUUCUGGAGAAAAAAAAAAAAAAAAACAAGAAGUUUGCAAGAAAGGGACAUGAAUUGAUGACACUGGAAGCCAUGCCAGUUA